RNAcentral lists this ribosomal RNA (841 nucleotides) under uncultured bacterium. Its description in RNAcentral is "SSU rRNA". It matches the Rfam family "Bacterial small subunit ribosomal RNA", at positions 8 to 843 of the family's 1533-position model. The record is from RNAcentral.
AGAGUUUGAUCCUGGCUCAGAUUGAACGCUGGCGGCAUGCCUUACACAUGCAAGUCGAACGGCAGCACGGGAGCAAUCCUGGUGGCGAGUGGCGAACGGGUGAGUAAUAUAUCGGAACGUGCCCAGUCGUGGGGGAUAACGCAGCGAAAGCUGUGCUAAUACCGCAUACGAUCUCUGGAUGAAAGCGGGGGACCUGCAAGGGCCUCGCGCGAUUGGAGCGGCCGAUAUCAGAUUAGCUAGUUGGUGGGGUAAAAGCUCACCAAGGCGACGAUCUGUAGCUGGUCUGAGAGGACGACCAGCCACACUGGAACUGAGACACGGUCCAGACUCCUACGGGAGGCAGCAGUGGGGAAUUUUGGACAAUGGGCGCAAGCCUGAUCCAGCAAUGCCGCGUGCAGGAUGAAGGCCUUCGGGUUGUAAACUGCUUUUGUACGGAACGAAAAGGCUCUUUUUAAUAAAGAGGGCUCAUGACGGUACCGUAAGAAUAAGCACCGGCUAACUACGUGCCAGCAGCCGCGGUAAUACGUAGGGUGCGAGCGUUAAUCGGAAUUACUGGGCGUAAAGCGUGCGCAGGCGGUUUUGUAAGACAGAUGUGAAAUCCCCGGGCUCAACCUGGGACCUGCAUUUGUGACUGCAAGGCUAGAGUACGGUAGAGGGGGAUGGAAUUCCGCGUGUAGCAGUGAAAUGCGUAGAUAUGCGGAGGAACACCGAUGGCGAAGGCAAUCCCCUGGACCUGUACUGACGCUCAUGCACGAAAGCGUGGGGAGCAAACAGGAUUAGAUACCCUGGUAGUCCACGCCCUAAACGAUGUCAACUGGUUGUUGGGUCUUUACUGACUCAG